This 235-nucleotide ribosomal RNA is filed under the name uncultured bacterium. RNAcentral describes it as "partial 16S ribosomal RNA". It matches the Rfam family "Bacterial small subunit ribosomal RNA", at positions 118 to 354 of the family's 1533-position model. The record is from RNAcentral.
UGAGCAAUCUGCCCUUGACUCUUGGAUAACUGCGGGAAACUGUAGCUAAUACCGGAUACGACCUGAAGAGGCAUCUUUUUGGGUGGAAAGAAUUUUUGGUCAAGGAUGAGCUCGCGGCCUAUCAGCUAGUUGGUGAGGUAACGGCUCACCAAGGCGACGACGGGUAGCCGGCCUGAGAGGGUGACCGGCCACACUGGGACUGAGACACGGCCCAGACUCCGUACGGGNGCAGCAG